This 7479-nucleotide long non-coding RNA is filed under the name Sus scrofa (pig). RNAcentral's name for it is "lncRNA (ENSSSCG00045018729.1, ENSSSCG00065006211.1)". Lineage: Eukaryota; Metazoa; Chordata; Mammalia; Artiodactyla; Suidae. The record is from RNAcentral.
CAAACUGUAGUCUUGUAGGCUACUUCUAUGCAAGAAUACCCCUUUGCAUUUUUUGGGGGGGUUACUAUUUAUUUUUGGUGUGGGAAUUUGAAUUUUUCCUGUCUCUUUUUUGGUGUGAGCAGGCUGUUAUUCCAAGGAUGCUCAGUGUGUUUUCAGGGAGAAGGAGACAAUGGGUAGGGUGAGCAUGCAGUGCCUGCUUGUUGGGCUCUCAACAGAAGCAAAUACCUCAAGGAGGUUGGCACAGGCUACUCCUAUUUGCAGGGCCCUGAAAAUGGUAAAGAACUCUAAGAAGAUCUGCAAGGUGACCAGAGCAUUUGGCAGUAGCAGCAGCAGGAUUCAUGAGUUCCUAUGGGUUGAGAGCAACAAACACUUGUGUUCAAUUGCAAUGCUCUCCUUUGUGGUGAUUGGAACCACAGGUGGUGCCUGUUCAGGGACCCUAGUGGGAGUGGACCAUGACCGUCUCUAGCUUCUGUGAUAACUGUGGUUGUUUGCCUCCACCACCAAUAUACCAUGUAUGAGGUGAUCCAUCUUACUUAGCCCACAUAGGAGGUGCUGCAUAGCAUGUUACUAGCUGUAGGAUCCUGGAGGUGACAGAGAUCUGGCAUGUGGGUACUGCCCUGAACAUUCAGCAUUGGCAGCAGCAGGGCUGUUAUGUUCCCAAUGGUGCACUUGCACCAAUAGUUGAUUUGGUCACAAUGCCUUCCUCUGUGUUUCCCUUGAGGUGAAUGGGACUGCAAGUGGUGCCUGUUCAUUAACCCCUAGUAGUGUCAGGCUCCUGCCACCUCUGGAGCAAUAGAUAACUGUGACAGUUUGCCCCUGCCACCCGUAAAUCAUGCAAGAAACACCUGGUCCUGUUUAGCCCCCACAGGAUGUGCUGAGCAAGGUGCUCUUAGUGCAAGUUCCUAGGAAGGGGCAGUGAUCAAGCAUCUGGGUCCCUCCCAGAACAUUUGGCAGUGGCAGCUGCAGUGUGUGUGUGUGCUCUCAGGGAUCAAAAGCAAUCUCAGGUUGUGUUCUGUUGUAGUGUCCUUCUCUGCAAUGCCCUCUAAAGUGGUUGGGGCUGCAAGUGAUUUUUGUUCAGAUAUCCCUAGCUGUGGUUGGCCACUCCCACUUCUGGAGUCAGGGAUAAUUGUGGUUUGCACCCACCACCUGCAGGUCUGGUCUACCAGGGGCUAGCAAGCAUCUUCCCGUUGCUGGAGAAACCAGGUCUACAGUGGGCUAGAAAGCAACUUCUGGUCAUGAGCGGCCGCUCCUGAGAGGCACAAUCUAAGGCUGGUAGUGUGGCUCCCUGUGGGGUGGGCUGGCCAGAGCACUGUGGAGUGGUGCUUGUUUACCACAGUCUGGGGCGGGGCAAUGUGGAUCAGUGCAUGGCUACCCAUGGUUCAGGGCUGGGCCUGUAGUGCUGCAAAGCAGCUGGAGGCUUCUCAUAGGAUGGGGCAAAGCAGCCCUGAGCAAUGCAGAGAGGAUAGGCCGGGCUUCUCCCGGGUUGGGGGGAGGCCGGAGCAAGGCUUUUAAGCUUCGCACAGUGCAGGGUGCUGCACUGGGGAUGCUCUGCCCUCUGUGAUGGAGGGGGCAAGAGCACACAUGCUGGGGUGCAAGGAGUUUUCUAUGGUAGUGGUCACCCCCUUCUCGUCUCCCCUACCCAACAAUGGUGCCUUAUCUCUCCUGUGGGUCUGGACCUUUUCCCAGGUUCCCUCUACCAUGGCUUUCCACUCCCCAGCCCUUAGUGUACCACUUCCCCCACUAACAGAGCACCUCUCGCUAGUGCCUUGGGCUGUGUCCACACCACCAACCCCAGCCCUCUCCUAGGGACUGACCUCUGGAGUCUAGAGUCUCAGUGCCCAGCCCCCACCUGAGCUUUUCAGGCUGUGGUGUCUGCACCAGUGGUUCAGAUGAUCUGUGCUUUUUUCACUCUGCUUUUCAGUUCUCAGACCUGCUGCUGCACUUUCCUUGAUAUCUUGGAGCUGAUUUUUCCAUUGGUUAGGUGGCUUCCCAGUGUGUAGGUUCCCUUUCUCCUUCACAGCUCCCUCUCAGGAAUGCUUGUCCCAUCCUGAUUCCUUUGGUCUCUCUCUCUCUCUUUUUCUUUUGUUCUACCCAGUUAUGUCAAGAGUUUUUGCCCUUUUUGGAAGUUUAAGUUCUUUUGUCAACAUUCAGUUGAUGACCUGUGCAAGUUGUUUUAAUGUAGAUGUGUUUUUUUAAUGUGUUUUUGGGAGAGGGUGGGCAUGUCCUCUUGUUCUUCUGCCAUCUUGCCUUCUCCCUCCAUACAUAUUUUUUUAAUUCAGUUUCAGAAGCAUUUAGCCACUACAUAUGACUAAAAAUAAAAUAUAUAUAUGUGCUUUGAACAGUCAAGUUUGACUAUGAGAUAUUUUUUUAAAAAAUCGUAUUCCCUGAUUUAAUGCAUUUUAUUUAAUUUCUUUGUAGUCAUCUGGUAGACAAUUAUGAAAUUUGGAAUUGUUUCAUUUUAUUUUUAAUAAUAGUUCAUUUUAUAACAUUGGAAUUUAUUAUACACCUAUUUAAUCCUUACAAUGACUUUUAUGUGAAGUACAGUUUUACAAUAAAUUGUAAUGACGUUUUUGUUGAUGACAGUGACACUAAUAAAGAUUCCAAAUCUCACCCAAUGUAACAGAUCAAAUAUAUUUUGGAGGAUGGAUUCAAACAUAUUUAUAUUUCAUUCCAAAUGCUUAGAUAUUUCCAAAACAUUAUAUGCUCAAUUCAUGUCUUAUAUGGAGUGAUUAUUCAAUAAUUUUCAAUAAAAGUGAACCUUUUAAAGAUUCUGACUGUAGCGUUUGAACCUACAUUUUUAAAGUUAUUGUGAUUUGAAACUUUAUUGGUUAAUUGAAACCUGGAGAAAUAGAAAUAUGAAAGAAAGUUUAGAAACCUCUUGAUGUAAAAGAAUUUAAAAAUUAAUUUGAUAGAAAUAUUGAGUAGAUUUAUCAUAGCAAUGUAUUCUGAUCAGCCAAUUUUUUUCCACAAGACAGUGCAAAUGAUACCCUUUAUUUUGUUAUGUUGAAUCAUAUAUUGGUAAAGUGUCAUUGAAAAGAAUUUUAAGGUUAGAAAUGGAAGAACUAUAUUUCCAUCAGAAUGGACUCCCUGAUUUCAUGAUGAUGAGCUCCCAGAGUACCAGUACGAUGUAGCAACUACGGACAUUGUCAUAGUAAACAUCAGAAACAGUUUAGUCAUCAGAAUGGUAGAAUAAUAGGCAGAUACAGUAUUGACCAAUUGAUCUUGAUAUCCCAGGACAAAAACUACAUAGAUUUAUUAAAGUGUUAAGCUAGAAAAUUUCCUCCCCUAUUUUUGGUCAACCAAAAAAUUUUAAAACAAAAUAAAUAAGAUGAAAAACAGCAAAACCUUUAGUCAUUCCAAAAAUUUGUGGUCCCUACUAAAUUUCUUAAUUUUGAGUCAGAUCUUACACAUGCAUACCCUUGAAUGAUGGGGAAUUAUCCUUGAACAAUGACUUUACAUAUUCAGCAAAAAUUUAUAUUAUAAAUCUCAUUUGAAUUCAUUCAGGGUACCAAGUAUUUAGUACUUACCAAGUAUGUAGUACUUAUGAUGAAGCUAAGAGCACCAGGAAAAGGAAAAUGGCUAUUAUUUCAGUAAUCAAUCAUCAAAACAAAUAUGGCAGCUUAGGAUCCAAAUUGCUACUUGGAUAAAUUGAAUUUGGUCUAUUUUAAUCUCUUAGUGAAUCCAGAAGUACGAUAAAUACAAACUAUGAUUAUUUUUUCAGUUUCUAAAUGCAUAGUUCGAAUGGGUAUAUAAAGCCACUGGCAGAAUCCUCCUAUUAGCUCUCUGACAAACAUAACAAUCUAGCUCAUCUUACCUACCAACAUAAUUAACCAAAAUAAAUAUUUUGGGAAUUCUCUGGUAGUCUAGAAGUUCAUCACUGAUGCAUCCUGUAUUCAAUUCCUGGUCUGGGAACUGAAAUUCCAUAUCAAACCACUGCAUGUCACAGCCAAAAAAAAAAAAAAAGAAAAAAAGAAAGAAAGAAAAAGAAAAAAAGAGAAAAAACAUUAUCAAAGAAAUUGAGAAAUGCAAAAACUGUAAACUUUUAUCACAUUGACACAAAUCUGAUUUAUUAUAAACAAAUAAUGACUGUUUACAGUGGUGGUUAGAAAUGUGGUUUCUGAAAAAAAAUUUGAAACAAAAUUACAGUUCUAGCAUCUUGUCUGUAGCAGAUGAUUUGAAAUUUUUAAACAAAGUACAUAGUACCAACAAGGAUAGCAGUAUAUCUUCCACAUUUGGCCCAAGGGUCCAUAAUAUUUCUGGAUUAGUGGCUUAUUUACACCAGAGAGUGCUUGAGCAUCUCAUCAUCCCAUAGAUCAUCACUCAUAUCCAACACUUGAGACAUCAUGCCAAUAUAAUAUGGUAACCUUUAAAAAUUGUAUAAUGUUAUUGAAGAAACAUUAGUACUAAAUUCUGAGUGAAAAAUUCUGCCAAAAGUGAGGGGUUUGCAUUUCAUAGUAAGUUGGAAUGUUGUGAUAAUGCAGUGUGUUAGAAUAUGGCCUCCACAGGGAAAGGCAAAUUGCUUAAUUUGAAUCACUUAUCCAGAGAACGUUGCAUAGUUUUAAAUUUUGUAGCAAUGCCUAAUUCUAAUCACCUUAACGUAUUACCUAUAAGGCUACUAGAUUUGAAUAGCAAAACUGGAAAGAAUGGCUAUAUGACCUGUACUAACUUAUAUAACACACUGAUACACAAAGCAUCAGCCAUUGACAAGUUCUGCUGGAAACAGAACAGUUGAUUUUGGUGCAAGUUGAUGAGUUUUACUCUUCUUUCAACACAGAGUUCUGACUUAUUAUUCAAUCAUCAUUGAGAUUAAAACAAGGGCAUGGAAUAAUAAUUAAUUAUGUUAUCUAACUCUCCAUUACAAAUUACAUGCUAUCUGAUUUACCAAGCCAGAAAAGAAUGUGGGCAACAUCGUUUCAUUUUCUAGUGUAUAUGGCUUGACCCAGAAGACAUGCAGCAGCGACAUGAAAGUUACAUGAAAGAGUGACCCAGUUACACCAUCAGUUCCUCUUGUCAUUCAUAUCAAUGUAUUUACCAUAAUUCAUAACUAUAAAUUGAUGAGGAUCAUCCUAAGCCUAAUCUACUCAGGAAGAAUAAUGAGUCUAGUUUAUAGAGCAUGUUGCAUGAUCAAAAUAUUCACAUUUUCAUACUACAUAUUCUAAAGGAAAGAGCAAUUUUAAAAAUAAAACAAAGCAGUAUAUAUAUGAUUAACUUUGUCUAGAAGCAUAUAUGGCCUUAAGUACAUAUCUGUGCUGAUUCAUGAUCUGCUAUUAAUCACUUGUUUAUUUGGUCAGGGAUUUGUAGGAAUAAAAUUAUAAAAUAAAGGACUAGAAUAGAUGAUGAAAAUACCUAAGCACUCUCGAUUAUCUGACUAAGAUCUGCUACCUUGGUGAAUGUAAGUUGACUUAUUUUCCCAACCAACACAGUAUUCACAUAAUUGUUGUAUAAAGAAAGAAGGCACAGCAUUGGAAAUUAAGUUGCAUGUGCAAAAAGUGAUAAUUUUUCUCACCAAGCUUUUCACUAUUGAGUAUCCUACUGACAUGUAAUAGUGACUCCGAACAAAUAUAUUGGUGUCAAGUUUAUGAUGUUGGAUGUAUGCUAUUAUAGAAAUGGAAUUGGUUUACCAUAGUGGAAUGGAAUAUUGAUUUAACCUUCUUUGUCAUCUAUGCUCUUCUAGGACCAUGAAUUGGAAACUUAUUGAAAGCUUUUUUCAAUCAUCUUAUUCCAUCCACCAUUGCUUCUGACUGUGGAACAUUUUCUGAUAUUGAAGUAAAAAGAUUAUUGAACAAACUCAAGGUUAUAGAAUAUGGGUUUUCCUCCCCCCUCAUGAUCAGAAAUAGCUAAACAAAAAUAACGGUCCUCAGACCUAUGAAGAUUCCAUUUUAUGUUCCACAUUGGAGAUACUACCUGAUGUGUAUAGGAUGCUGUCCUACAGAAUGGAGUCUAUGCCAUUAGCUGGUACACUCUAUAAGUCCUAUUACCACUAUAGCCAAUACACUGAAUUCAGGAAACAAGGAGUAGAUGUGGAAAUAAUGCUACAUACUACUUAUGCCUUAUGAAAUUAAAAGUUUUCUUUCCAUCACUGGGACUUUGUCCUCUGCAUUUUCUAAAACUUGGUAACCUAUGGAGCAAAGUUUUUAUUACACAGGUUAAUAGAUGUAUCCAUCAAAGUAAAAUUUGAGUUUGCUUUCUGGCAUUUGAUAUUUUUCAUGCCACAGAUGAAUCAGUCAAAAUGUGUGGUUAAUAUGUUAGAUGAGAUGACUGAUCUUGAUUAGCAACAGAAACUAUAAUUAUAUGCACAGUGAAGCUUAACAGAAUUUUUGUAGGAGAUUCUCUUGGUUUCUUCCUGCACUGUGUUAAAAGGAAUUGAUCUGAUCUUUAAGGUUUCUCUUUAAUUUAUUUCACUGAAUAAAAUAUUAAAAAUAAAUCUAUGCCUUAAACAAGGUAUUUUCCCAUUGUUAUAAUGCUAUGGGCUCUCUUUUGAGAAAGACAUAAUAUCUUUUUGAGAUCUGGAACUAUAUUGUUUUCAAAAAUCACAUAAAACCAUUCAAACCACAAAAACUAUUUUUGUAAUCAUAUAUAGUAUAUUACAAAAGAGGCCACAACACUUUGAAAAUCAUCUCAUAGGUAGAUGAAAUUCAUUUCUCUAAAUCUUGAUUGGAAACUGGCUUGCCACAUGCUUUGGGCAAUCAGAUACAGAAGGAGUCACAUUGUGAAGUUAUGCCAAAUUCUGAUCCCAGGUCACAAGGCUUUCCAUAGAUCCUUUAUCACUUUGAGUCCUAUGACCACCAUGUAAACAAGACAAGAAUAGCCUGCCUACGGGAGGAUGAGAGACAUGUGGAAAAGGCCCAAUUUGUCCUAACUAUCCUUUCAUCACAAAACAACCUCCCCAGACAAUUUAGGAGUAAGCCCAGAAGUAACUUGAAUGAAACUGAUGGAAUUCUGCCCAGCCCAUAAUAGAAUAGUGGAACUGCUGUCCUAAGACUCCUGAGUUAAAUACAUCGCUUUUCUUUAAGACACUAAGUUUUGAGGGGUGGUUUUUUUACACAGAAAAAGUUUACUGAUAUACCAUGUAUCAAUAUAUCAAUAUGGAAGAAAGAAGAUUGGCUUAAAUUGGGAAUCAAUGAGUCCUUUGUCUUAUAGAGCAACUUAUAAUAUGCAGAACAGUUAUUAUAACUGAGAUUUCAUGUUCUUUUAUCUUUUUAAAUAGGAACAAAUGUAAUUGUAUAGUUUGUAACUGUUUUCCAUCUCCAUUGAGUAAAAGCCCAGAUAAUGUUUUCUUAAAUUGGAAAACCAAAUAGAGGUGGGUUUAUGUCAUUUAUAAAUUACUCAAUUUAAUAAAGAGAAAAGUAUAAUAUGCUCUUAAAGCCUGGAAUGACUGAGGUAAACUUUUCUGAGAGUAUUAAUAAAAUGAUGUUUUGAAAGCACCUACCAUUUAUUUGUGAUUUAUUCUAAGGAAACUUCAUGUUACAGAAUUUGACA